AUACUACAUCGUAUUAUUUCUAUCCAGAACACUGGAAGCUACGGGAAUUUUGACCAUUCAGGAGGGCAGACACAUCUACAAAGUUCCAUGGCACAGAACAUAAGUUUUUUGACUCAAGAUGUGGGACAUAGCCAUAUGUCUUAGAAAGUGUCAACCAGAAGUCAAGAAAGCCUGUUGAUGAUUUGGGCUGUGGUUGGGAUGUGCACUUCAUCCAAUUUUCUCCCAUCUGUGAGAUCUCUCAUGGAGUGAUUGUGAACGGACUUGUGCUAAAAGAAAGCAAAGGGGGUGAAUACUAUGAGAGUUCAGCCACAUCAAGAGGAAGCGAUUUUGUGCUGUCACAGGCUGGUCAGCAAUAUGCAGUGAAGCACUCCUUCAGUACAGUGUGAAAAGCUAUUCUUACGAGUGAACUCUGCCUUUCAAAAAAGAAAUUUAUGGCUCA
Rhipicephalus microplus (southern cattle tick) is the source of this 439-nucleotide long non-coding RNA. RefSeq lists it as uncharacterized. The record is from RefSeq and is a predicted model, not a curated record. NCBI's taxonomy places the organism in Eukaryota, Metazoa, Arthropoda, Arachnida, Ixodida, Ixodidae.